CGGGUGAGUAACGCGUGGGUAACCUGCCUUGUACUGGGGGACAACAGUUAGAAAUGACUGCUAAUACCGCAUAAGCGCACAGUAUCGCAUGAUACAGUGUGAAAAACUCCGGUGGUACAAGAUGGACCCGCGUCUGAUUAGCUAGUUGGUAAGGCAACGGCUUACCAAGGCGACGAUCAGUAGCCGACCUGAGAGGGUGACCGGCCACAUUGGGACUGAGACACGGCCCAA
RNAcentral lists this ribosomal RNA (231 nucleotides) under uncultured bacterium. Its description in RNAcentral is "partial 16S ribosomal RNA". It matches the Rfam family "Bacterial small subunit ribosomal RNA", at positions 103 to 334 of the family's 1533-position model. The record is from RNAcentral.